CGGAUUCUGGCUCAGGAUGAACGCUAGCGGCAGGCUUAACACAUGCAAGUCGAGGGGCAUCGGGAGUAGCAAUACUGCCGGCGACCGGCGCAAGGGUGCGUAACGCGUGAGCAACAUGCCCGUAUCAGGGGGAUAAUCCAUGGAAACGUGGUCUAAUACCCCAUAGUAAUUAUGUAAGGCAUCUUAUAUAAUUUAAAGCUUUGGUGGAUACGGAUUGGCUCGCGUGACAUUAGCUGGAUGGUAAGGUAACGGCUUACCAUGGCUACGAUGUCUAGGGGUUCUGAGAGGAAGGUCCCCCACACUGGAACUGAGACACGGUCCAGACUCCUACGGGAGGCAGCAGUGAGGAAUAUUGGACAAUGGAUGGAAAUCUGAUCCAGCCAUGCCGCGUGCAAGGGAAGACGGCCCUAUGGGUUGUAAACUGCUUUUGUAUGGGAGCAAUAAGGGCUACGUGUAGUCCGAUGAGAGUACCAUACGAAUAAGCACCGGCUAACUCCGUGCCAGCAGCCGC
Molecule: ribosomal RNA, 511 nt
Filed under: uncultured bacterium
Lineage: Bacteria
Description: bacterial SSU rRNA
Rfam family: Bacterial small subunit ribosomal RNA
Source: RNAcentral